This 378-nucleotide ribosomal RNA is filed under the name uncultured bacterium. Its description in RNAcentral is "bacterial SSU rRNA". It matches the Rfam family "Bacterial small subunit ribosomal RNA", at positions 521 to 896 of the family's 1533-position model. The record is from RNAcentral.
UCAUACGGAAGAUCCAAGCGUUAUCCGGAAUUACUGGGCGUAAAGAGUUGCGUAGGUGGCAAAGUAAGCGAAGCAUGAAAUCUUGUGGCUCAACCAUAAGACUAUGUUUUGAACUGCUUAGCUUGAGUAUGGGAGAGGUAGAUGGAAUUUCUAGUGUAGGAGUGAAAUCCGUAGAUAUUAGAAGGAACACCGAUGGCGUAGGCAGUCUACUAGCCCAUUACUGACACUAAGGCACGAAAGCGUGGGGAGCGAACGGGAUUAGAUACCCCGGUAGUCCACGCCGUAAACUAUGCUUGCUAGCUGUUAUCAGUAUCGACCCUGGUAGUAGCGAAGCUAACGCGUUAAGCAAGCCGCCUGGGGAGUACGGUCGCAAGAUUA